Molecule: non-coding RNA, 735 nt
Organism: Vicugna pacos (alpaca)
Lineage: Eukaryota; Metazoa; Chordata; Mammalia; Artiodactyla; Camelidae
Source: RefSeq, a predicted model, not a curated record
UCAUGGAGGGCACAUUGAGAUGCACUUCUAUCAGCCUGGCCCCUUAGUAGGUUCAAAAUCCUGCUCUCACAGAAGCCCUUCCACCAGCUCUAAUCAAGUGAUAAACCUUUCUGGAUCACGAAGAAAAAAAGAGAUGAUCAUGCAUGAACUCCCUCAACUUCUCUCCUACAUCCCCAGGCCCUCAGAGUAUGCUGCAGGAGUAGACUCUGCGGGCUAGGAUCCCCAGUUGCUCCCCAGCUCCACAAGCUUCCGAGGGACUUUGCUGGCUUGGAGCCACACCCAGCUCCUCCUCAAUGUGGUCAUCAUCUUUCCAAAAUUGAGCCUACCUACCACAGAGGGACCAGCAUUCACCAGGUCGGCUCCAGUCAAAGGCGCAGGGUGACUAGAGCUGUUACUGACCUCCACCGCAGCAAUACCUGUGAUGUGUCCAAUGGUCCCCACGCUGCGGACACCAAGUCAAACAUGCGGAUCCUGUCAUCUGAUGGCCAGGACAGCUUAAUGAAGUUCCCAGUGGAGCCGCACCAAGAAGAGGAAGAGUGGGCAGUCCUCCGGAAUGAGCGAAGGAGCAUUCUAAAGUGUUCAGGUGCCGCACAAGUUGCCCAACCCCGUAAAUCUGAGUGCGGACUCCUGGCGCCCCUCAUUAAAGGCAAGCACCCCCACCCCACUUUUUGAACAUGCAGCCUGAAUAGGAAGGCAGAGAAUCCCAGCGGGCCACCUCAGGGCGGGGGCCGGGGG